GGCGUUUUGACUUGCAUCAGCCACUACAUGUACGUCAAACGUGCCAGCAUCAGUGGACCCCUGACUUGAAGGACCUCCUUAGGAGUGGAUAUUGGCCAGCCUCUGUCACCAGCUCCACACUUUAUACACCGGACCUCCUCAACUCCUUUCAGGACCUCAAGGUCAUCUCUCCAGGAGUCUCCAGACAAGCCUUCGCAAAGCUGCUGGAGCAUCGCACUAAGAUCGGAGGAAGAUCUGGACAAAUCAGCGCAGCUUCUUAGAGUUUAUGCUUCACUUGAGGAAGACCAGCUCUGCUGUGGUGCUCCUCUCACCUGCGCAGCCUGCACGCCGGAAAUGUUGGCUGUUUCAGCCGAUGUUAACAGAAAGCUAUAUCACUUUCGCAGAGACACAAGCUCUGAUGAUCCUGCCUUUUUUGAGGGGCUCUUAGUGGCUGAAGACGUUGCGGUGUCUAGAUUUGUGGAAACCAUACAGAAAGCAGUGAGAAAUGCAAGUUUCAAUCAUAACUUGACCGAAAAGUUGUCACAAAAAGAGCCAUAUAUGUCCGACCUUGAUUUCAUCCUCACUUCAACUACUUCUACCAACCAACUACUCCAAAAUCAAACUGAGAGAAUAAAUGGCAUAUAUUGUAUG
Long non-coding RNA from Onychostoma macrolepis, 630 nucleotides. RefSeq lists it as uncharacterized. The record is from RefSeq and is a predicted model, not a curated record. The transcript is spliced from 3 exons. NCBI's taxonomy places the organism in Eukaryota, Metazoa, Chordata, Actinopteri, Cypriniformes, Cyprinidae.